Long non-coding RNA from Canis lupus familiaris (dog), 1232 nucleotides. RefSeq lists it as uncharacterized. The record is from RefSeq and is a predicted model, not a curated record. Lineage: Eukaryota; Metazoa; Chordata; Mammalia; Carnivora; Canidae. The transcript is spliced from 3 exons.
UGUUAUGACCAUUAUGUUAACACAGAAGAUGUGAAGUGGCACAUGGUAGCCUUUCAGAAAUUGUAGUCUCCUUCACUCCAAAUCUCCAGCCCACACAACCUGGAUUUCUUCAUUUUGGGAAUGGGGAUGAUAUUUACCUUCAAAUUAAUGAACCAAUAUAUAAAGUGUCUUGGAUUUAUACAUCAUCAUAACAGAAAUUAUAUUCUCAAGAUUACCCGCUUCCCUUCCUUAAGUGUGGCAAGGACUUCUACCCCUGACCAAGAUGUAGUAACAGGGACCGGAUUGACUCUCACACCUGAAACAACUAAAAAAAUGAGCAAAAUAUAAAACAAUCAUUUUGAAGACAUUGGACAUCAGAUAAUGAACAGUAAUCACAAGGAGACAGGAAACAACCAGGGCAUGAUUGCCCCUGCUUACCUGCAGGAGAGAGUUUCUGGGCCAUCGUAUGGGCCAGGGGAACCCAGGUAGAACCUGGUAGUAUCUUGAGUCGAAGAGAUGGAGGCCAAGGUGACUUAGAGCUGUGAAUGGUCCUGUCUACCUUCCUCUGAGUACUGAUCAGCUGACACACCUAUGAGGAAACCACUCAAGGCUAAGGAAAGAAACACCUGGAAGGAAUCAAGACAAUAACCCUUGACGAUUAUACCGGGCCACGAAUAAUUCCUUUUCCCACCAGCCAGAAAAGAAAACUUCAUAAAUCAGAGGAUAUUGGGUAAAGUACUCAGGACAGUUUUUCUUCACUGAGUGGGGGGAUGGAGGGGUGAGGGGGAAGUGGGAAUUAGAGCUAUAUUAAAGGCUGUUCUGGUCACCCCUAAAAAAGCUGAAAAGCAAAGAUCUAAACAGGUUGAACUGUUUCCAGGCAAAUAAAUCACAUCUUAGAACAAAUCUCAGGAAUAUAUAUAGGAGUACAAGAAUGUCCAGCCCCCAACAAGUUAAAAUUCACAAUUGCUGGCAUCCAAUUAAAAAUUAUCAGCAUGCAAAGGGGAGUGGUAUACUUUUUAAUAUAUGACACAGAUUGAGGAGAAUAAUCAAUUUGAAACCAAACCAGACUUGACACAGAUGUUAGAAUUAGCUCACAAACACAUUGAACAGUUAAGUUUAUAUUCCAUGUGUUUAAAAUGUUAAGUAGAAGGGUGCCUGGGUGGCUCAAUUGGCUGAGUCUGACUUCACUCAGGUCAUGAUCUUGGGGUCCUGGGAUGGAGCCCUGCAUUAGGUUCCCUGCUCGGUGGGGAACC